GACGAACGCUGGCGGCGUGCCUAACACAUGCAAGUCGAACGAGGUCCAAGGGAGCUUGCUCCCUGACGACCUAGUGGCGAACGGGUGAGUAACACGUGAGAAACCUGCCUCGGAGUGGGGAAUAACCCGGGGAAACUCGAGCUAAUACCGCAUACCUUCAGAUGGUCGCAUGGCCGACUGAAGAAAGAAUUUCGCUCUGAGUGGGUCUCGCGGCCUAUCAGCUAGUUGGUGGGGUAACGGCCGACCAAGGCAACGACGGGUAGCUGGAUUGAGAGAUCGAUCAGCCACACUGGGACUGAGACACGGCCCAGACUCCUACGGGAGGCAGCAGUGGGGAAUCUUGCGCAAUGGGCGAAAGCCUGACGCAGCAACGCCGCGUGCGGGAUAACGGCCUUCGUGGUUGUAAAUCGCUUUCAGCAGGGACGAAAUUGACGGUACCUGCAGAAGAAGCUCCGGCUAACUACGUGCCAGCAGCCGCCGUAA
Molecule: ribosomal RNA, 483 nt
Filed under: uncultured bacterium
Lineage: Bacteria
Description: partial 16S ribosomal RNA
Rfam family: Bacterial small subunit ribosomal RNA
Source: RNAcentral